UACGUAGGUGGCAAGCGUUGUCCGGAAUUAUUGGGCGUAAAGCGCGCGCAGGCGGUUUGUCGCGUCUGCUGUGAAAACUCGGGGCUUAACUCCGGGCCUGCAGUGGGUACGGGCAGACUAGAGUGCGGUAGGGGAGACUGGAAUUCCUGGUGUAGCGGUGAAAUGCGCAGAUAUCAGGAGGAACACCGGUGGCGAAGGCGGGUCUCUGGGCCGUAACUGACGCUGAGGAGCGAAAGCGUGGGGAGCAAACAGG
This 253-nucleotide ribosomal RNA is filed under the name uncultured bacterium. RNAcentral describes it as "partial 16S ribosomal RNA". It matches the Rfam family "Bacterial small subunit ribosomal RNA", at positions 524 to 776 of the family's 1533-position model. The record is from RNAcentral.